RNAcentral lists this ribosomal RNA (525 nucleotides) under Clostridioides difficile. Its description in RNAcentral is "bacterial SSU rRNA". It matches the Rfam family "Bacterial small subunit ribosomal RNA", at positions 1 to 551 of the family's 1533-position model. Lineage: Bacteria; Bacillati; Bacillota; Clostridia; Peptostreptococcales; Peptostreptococcaceae. The record is from RNAcentral.
UUUUAUUUGAGAGUUUGAUCCUGGCUCAGGAUGAACGCUGGCGGCGUGCCUAACACAUGCAAGUUGAGCGAUUUACUUCGGUAAAGAGCGGCGGACGGGUGAGUAACGCGUGGGUAACCUACCCUGUACACACGGAUAACAUACCGAAAGGUAUGCUAAUACGGGAUAAUAUAUUUGAGAGGCAUCUCUUGAAUAUCAAAGGUGAGCCAGUACAGGAUGGACCCGCGUCUGAUUAGCUAGUUGGUAAGGUAACGGCUUACCAAGGCGACGAUCAGUAGCCGACCUGAGAGGGUGAUCGGCCACAUUGGAACUGAGACACGGUCCAAACUCCUACGGGAGGCAGCAGUGGGGAAUAUUGCACAAUGGGCGAAAGCCUGAUGCAGCAACGCCGCGGGAGUGAUGAAGGCCUUCGGGUCGUAAAACUCUGUCCUCAAGGAAGAUAAUGACGGUACUUGAGGAGGAAGCCCCGGCUAACUACGUGCCAGCAGCCGCGGUAAUACGUAGGGGGCUAGCGUUAUCCGGAUU